Molecule: ribosomal RNA, 459 nt
Filed under: uncultured bacterium
Lineage: Bacteria
Description: partial 16S ribosomal RNA
Rfam family: Bacterial small subunit ribosomal RNA
Source: RNAcentral
CUACGGGUGGCACCAGUAAGGAAUAUUGGUCAAUGGACGAAAGUCUGAACCAGCCAUGCCGCGUGAAGGAUGACGGCCCUAUGGGUUGUAAACUUCUUUUAUAUGGGAAGAAACCCCUCUACGUGUAGAGGGCUGACGGUACCAUACGAAUAAGCAUCGGCUAACUCCGUGCCAGCAGCCGCGGUAAUACGGAGGAUGCAAGCGUUAUCCGGAUUUAUUGGGUUUAAAGGGUGCGCAGGCGGAAAGAUAAGUCAGUGGUGAAAUCCUACGGCCUAACUGUAGAACUGCCAUUGAUACUGUCUUUCUUGAGUACAGUUGAAGUGGGCGGAAUGUGUCAUGUAGCGGUGAAAUGCAUAGAUAUGACACAGAACACCGAUAGCGAAGGCAGCUCACUAAACUGAAACUGACGCUCAUGCACGAAAGCGUGGGGAGCAAACAGGAUUAGAUACCCCAGUAGUC